GUGAAAUUGUUGAAAGGGAAACGCUUGAAGUCAGUCGCGUCGACCGAGACUCAGCCUUGCCUUGGCUUGGUGUACUUCUCGGCUGACGGGUCAGCAUCAAUUUUGCCCCUUGGAUAAUGAUGAGGGAAACGUGACACCUUUAUGGUGUGUUAUAGUCUCUUGUCGCAUGCAAGGGUCGGGAUUGAGGAACUCAGCACGCACCUUUGGGUGUCGGGGCUUUGCCCACGAUACGUGCUUAGGAUGUUGGCGUAAUGGCUUUAAACGACCCGUCUUGAAACACGGACCAAGGAGUCUAACAUGCCUGCGAGUGUUCGGGUGGAAAACCCGUGCGCGUAAUGAAAGUAAAAGUUGGGACCUCUGUCGUGGAGGGCACCGACGCCCGGACCAGACCUUCUGUGACGGCUCUGCGGUAAAGCAUGUAUGUUAGGACCCGAAAGAUGGUGAACUAUGCCUGAAUAGGGUGAAGCCAGAGGAAACUCUGGUGGAGGCUCGUAACGAUUCUGACGUGCAAAUCAAUCGUC
This 521-nucleotide ribosomal RNA is filed under the name uncultured Basidiomycota. RNAcentral's name for it is "LSU rRNA". It matches the Rfam family "Eukaryotic large subunit ribosomal RNA", at positions 399 to 906 of the family's 3401-position model. Lineage: Eukaryota; Fungi; Basidiomycota. The record is from RNAcentral.